GUCGAGCCCGGAGCCGGGCUCCCGGACGAGGGGUGCCGUACCCGGACAGCGACAAGACGGCCCGUG
RNAcentral lists this non-coding RNA (66 nucleotides) under Salana multivorans. The record is from RNAcentral. RNAcentral also lists the same sequence under 1 other name. Lineage: Bacteria; Bacillati; Actinomycetota; Actinomycetes; Micrococcales; Beutenbergiaceae.